GYGGCCCCAAGUCAGGCGAGGCCCA
RNAcentral lists this ribosomal RNA (25 nucleotides) under Alpinia guinanensis. RNAcentral describes it as "partial 26S ribosomal RNA". The record is from RNAcentral. Lineage: Eukaryota; Viridiplantae; Streptophyta; Magnoliopsida; Zingiberales; Zingiberaceae.